RNAcentral lists this unclassified non-coding RNA (239 nucleotides) under Glomeraceae sp. RNAcentral's name for it is "partial contains 5.8S ribosomal RNA and internal transcribed spacer 2". The stretch from base 1 to 71 matches the Rfam family "5.8S ribosomal RNA", at positions 84 to 154 of the family's 154-position model. Lineage: Eukaryota; Fungi; Glomeromycota; Glomeromycetes; Glomerales; Glomeraceae. The record is from RNAcentral.
GUGAAUCAUCGAAUCUUUGAACGCAAAUUGCACUUUCUGGUAUUCCGGAAAGUAUGCCUGUUUGAGGGUCAGUUAAAUUAAAAUCGGUGUUGUUGCUACCCGUAGUGGUGUGUGAUGCAUCGGAAUUGAGUCGUUCUUUACCUUUGGUUUAAGUGACUUAAAAUUAUGUUCGAUUUUUGACCUUUUUUAAUUUAUUACUUACUUUCGCAUUAUCACUUUUUAGUUCCGUUCAUUCCCUU